CUCAUCUUUGUUUCGUUGUCUGUUCGACCUUGGUCUCGAUCUCUCCUCAAAACCCUAAUACGCGCUUUAUCGUUUAUUUCAUUCAUCCAUCCUUCUUAUGAUCAUCAUAAACUAACGUACAUGGUUUAUCGGUUUGUUAUUGAUGGGGAUUGGGGUAGAUAGACGAUCGAAACUUUUGAUUUCUGAG
Arabidopsis thaliana (thale cress) is the source of this 187-nucleotide non-coding RNA. NCBI's taxonomy places the organism in Eukaryota, Viridiplantae, Streptophyta, Magnoliopsida, Brassicales, Brassicaceae. The record is from RefSeq.